CCUCCAUCUCCGCCACAAGAACCUCAAUUCCCCAAUCCCCAGAACCCAGAAAAAACACUCAGUCAAAAUCCACAAAAUUUCACCGGCAACGGCCAUCACCCUCAGAUCGCCUCGGAGACCACUCCGAGGCUCGAAAUCUCUAGAUCCCUGCUUUCCGAAAAUGGUCUCACCAACACCAAUAGCGGCGACAGGGACUUCUCUGGAGGCGAAGAGGAAACAACCAGCCGUCGACGUCGACGCAGCCGAUGGGAUCCACCAGCUGAUUCCACCACCAACAAUCAGUCCACCGAGACUAGUAACAAUGAUUCCGCUGGCGGUCCUCGCAAGCGAAAAUCUCGAUGGGCCGAUGAUGAGCCAAAGCCCGUAAUUCAACUUCCUGAUUUUAUGAAAGAUUUCACUGGAGGUAUUGAGUUUGACCCAGAAAUUCAGGCGUUGAAUGCUAGGCUUCUAGAGAUUAGUCGAAUGUUGCAAUCUGGUUUGCCUCUUGAUGAUAGACCUGAGGGAGCUAGGUCUCCUUCUCCGGAACCAAUUUAUGAUAAUAUGGGAAUUAGAAUUAAUACUAGAGAAUAUAGGGCAAGAGAGAGAUUGAACAAAGAGAGGCAAGAAAUUAUUUCUCAGAUUAUCAAGAGAAAUCCUGCCUUUAAGCCUCCUGCUGAUUACAGGCCCCCAAAGCUUCAGAAGAAACUUUACAUACCCAUGAAGGAAUACCCGGGAUAUAAUUUUAUUGGAUUGAUCAUUGGUCCAAGAGGGAAUACGCAGAAGAGAAUGGAGAGGGAAACAGGAGCCAAAAUUGUGAUUCGAGGUAAAGGGUCAGUAAAGGAGGGGAGGUUGCAGCAAAAAAG
This 842-nucleotide unclassified non-coding RNA is filed under the name Hevea brasiliensis (rubber tree). The record is from RNAcentral. Lineage: Eukaryota; Viridiplantae; Streptophyta; Magnoliopsida; Malpighiales; Euphorbiaceae.